UAACGAGCGAGACUCUGGCCUACUAAAUAGUUGGCACAUUGCCACUGUGUGCACAACUUCUUAGAGGGAUUUUCGGUGUUCAGCCGCACGAAAUUGAGCAAUAACAGGUCUGUGAUGCCCUAGAUGUCCGGGGCUGCACGCGCGCUACACUGGCAAAAUCAGCGUGCUUGUCCUCCCCCGAAAGGGGUUGGUAAACCGAUGAAAAUUUGCCGUGAUUGGGAUCGGACAUUGCAAUUAUUGUCCGUGAACGAGGAAUCCCUCGUAAGGGCGAGUCAUCAACUCGUCCUGAAUACGUCCCUGCCCUUUGUACACACCGCCCGUCGCUGCCCGGGACUGAGCCAUUUCGAGAAAACCGGGGAUUGUUGGCCUGACCGCUCUCGGGUUGUCUAGCCGAUGAGAACCGGCUUAAUCGCACUGGUUUGAACCGGGCAAAAGUCGUAACAAGGUAGCUGUAGGUGAACCUGCUGCUGGAUCAUUAC
This 479-nucleotide ribosomal RNA is filed under the name Rotylenchulus reniformis. RNAcentral's name for it is "SSU rRNA". It matches the Rfam family "Eukaryotic small subunit ribosomal RNA", at positions 1329 to 1831 of the family's 1831-position model. The record is from RNAcentral. Lineage: Eukaryota; Metazoa; Nematoda; Chromadorea; Rhabditida; Hoplolaimidae.